This 468-nucleotide ribosomal RNA is filed under the name uncultured bacterium. RNAcentral's name for it is "partial 16S ribosomal RNA". It matches the Rfam family "Bacterial small subunit ribosomal RNA", at positions 28 to 507 of the family's 1533-position model. The record is from RNAcentral.
GACGAACGCUGGCGGCGUGCUUAACACAUGCAAGUCGAACGGAAAGGCCCUGCUUGCGUGGGGUGCUCGAGUGGCGAACGGGUGAGUAACACGUGAGUAACCUGCCCUUGACCUUGGGAUAACUUCAGGAAACUGAGGCUAAUACCGGAUAGGAGCUCCUGCUGCAUGGUGGGGGAUGGAAAGUUUCGGCGGUUGGGGAUGGACUCGCGGCUUAUCGGCUUGUUGGUGGGGUAGUGGCUUACCAAGGCUUGGACGGGUAGCCGGCCUGGGGGGGUGACCGGCCCAAUGGGGACGGGGAUACGGCCCGAACUCCUCGGGGAGGCAGCGGUGGGAAUUAUUGCACAAUGGGCGGAGGCCGAUUGCAGCAACGCCGGGUGCGGGAUGACGGCCUUCGGUUUGAAACCCGCUUUCGCCUGUGACGAAGCGUGAGUGACGGUAAUGGGUAAAGAAGCACCGGCUAACUACGUG